RNAcentral lists this ribosomal RNA (253 nucleotides) under uncultured bacterium. Its description in RNAcentral is "partial 16S ribosomal RNA". It matches the Rfam family "Bacterial small subunit ribosomal RNA", at positions 524 to 776 of the family's 1533-position model. The record is from RNAcentral.
UUCAGAGGUGGCAAGCGUUGUUCGGAAUUACUGGGCGUAAAGGGCGCGUAGGCGGCCAUCUAAGUCAGACGUGAAAUCCCCCGGCUUAACCUGGGAACUGCGUCUGAUACUGGAAGGCUUGAGUAUGGGAGAGGGAUGUAGAAUUCCAGGUGUAGCGGUGAAAUGCGUAGAUAUCUGGAGGAAUACCGGUGGCGAAGGCGGCAUCCUGGACCAUUACUGACGCUGAGGCGCGAAAGCGUGGGGAGCAAACGGG